UACGAAGGGUGCAAACGUUGCUCGGAAUUAUUGGGCGUAAAGCGCACGUAGGCGGCUUAGCAAGUCGGAUGUGAAAUCCCUUGGCUCAACCAAGGAAGUGCAUCCGAAACUGCUGAGCUUGAGUACCAAAGAGGAUCGCGGAAUUCCCGGUGUAGAGGUGAAAUUCGUAGAUAUCGAGAGGAACACCGGUGGCGAAGGCGGCCUUCUGGACAGUGACUGACGCUGAGACGCGAAAGCGUGGGGAGCAAACAGG
RNAcentral lists this ribosomal RNA (253 nucleotides) under uncultured bacterium. Its description in RNAcentral is "partial 16S ribosomal RNA". It matches the Rfam family "Bacterial small subunit ribosomal RNA", at positions 524 to 776 of the family's 1533-position model. The record is from RNAcentral.